Molecule: long non-coding RNA, 1905 nt
Organism: Calidris pygmaea (Spoon-billed sandpiper)
Lineage: Eukaryota; Metazoa; Chordata; Aves; Charadriiformes; Scolopacidae
Source: Ensembl
CUGUCCCAGCCUGGAGGAAAACCCACCCUGAGUGUGUUUUUUGGGUAUCCCAGCUAGUGCCGGGGGUGACUGUCUGGGAAGGUAGUGGUGGUCCCUUCUCCUGCCUGUGGAGGAACAUGGACCCUCACCAGCAGGUGAGGGGGAUUGAAGGUCAGCAGUGGCCAAAGGGAGCUUUGGCAGGAGGCAAGUGGCAUCCCCAGGCCCCCGAGGAUGCUGCAGGGGGACAUAUGGGAUGUGUGAGCACCCCAAAAAUCAAGAUGCUGGUGGCUUUUGCAGGGCUGGUGGCUGCUCUGGGGAGAUUGGUGGAAGACAGUCAGGAAACUGCACGGAGGAAUCAGAUGUUGCAGGUACAGAAAUGUGUGUGUAUGGAUGUAAACCGAGGUGGUUGGGGACCUUUUUGUGGGUAAAGACAGUGGUAAUCCAAAGCGAGUGGGUGUGGGAGCCGAUUUGGGAAUGUUCAGUAGCAGCAGUCCCUGGGUCUGCACUAAUUGCAGGGGAACGGAGAAGACGAAGCCCCCUGUCGACGUGUGGGUGUCUGUAUAAAGUGCCAAGGGUGGAGGGUGUUGAGUUGUUUGGUAGUGAGUGUACUCAGGAGGUUUGUCUUGUGCUGUUGCUGAUGCAGUCCCUGCAUCUCCUCGUUAUCUGCUGUCUCCCCACAGGCCCAAUUAGAGAGGGACCGGGAAUCGCAGGCUGCUCUGCUGUGGGAGCGCAUGAAGGAGCUGGAAGCAAAACACAAGCAAGACCUACAGAUAAAAAUCCAGCAAAUCAUAAUGGAAAAGGACAAGGAGAGCCAAGAGAUUCUGGAGAACACUGUGGCCCAGGAGAAGCACAAGUGCAAGCAAUCUGUGGAGGAGGAACAGAAGAAGAUUCGAGACCUGGAGACCCACCUGAGGAGCUUGACUGAGGUAAUGGAAAGGAAGUCAAAGGAGCAGGAGGUUUCAGAGUGCAAACUGAGGGAAGCCGUGCACAACCUGGAGGAAGCUGCAACACGAGAGGUAGCUCCAACAACCCUUCUGUGCAUCCUGGGGAAGUGGCAUAGACAUGGUUUGGGUGAAGAAGGCUUCCCUGGUGCCUAACGAUGAGGGGGCAGAGAACAGCAGCCUCCCCCCUCCCUGAAAUCCUUCCCUUCCCUCGGUCCACCUGACUGCCAGCCAGGAGAGAUGAUGCUGAUCACAAUCCUAAAGGAAAACAUGUGUGAUUCUUCCAACCGAGAUAAUGCGUCUUGUUUCCUAGGUGAUGUUACAGCAGCGGGUUCUCACGCAAGAGGAGCAGCUCAAGUCCACUCUGGAGGAGAAUGAGUUACAGAGGCAGAAGCUGCAGGAAGAAACAGAGAAAUAUAAGGAGCAAAGCAAGCAACAUGCUCUGACAAUUGUGGCUUUAGAGGAGAGGUUGCUGGAGGCCAAACAGCAGCAGAAGACACUGGAGGAGGACAAGGCAGCACUUGUGGGAAAAAUGGAAGGUAGCAAAGGGUUGUAUGACAUGAGUCUGUACUGGGAACCCUCUUGGUUAAUAUAAAAUUUAUGUAGAGAUGGAGUAGUGUGCUUGCUGCUGUGGAAAGCGUUGUGCUAGAUGUUGGUUUGAGGUUUGCCUGAAUGCAGGACAAGCCCGAGAGUCCCCAAAGGAGCCAUUUUGCAUGGAGUUGCAGGAUAUUGCUCGGUGGCUUUGGGGACCGUGGUCACAGGCAGGGCUUUCCCACUGGAGAAUUGCUCUUUGCCCUCUAAAACGAUGAGACUGGAGCCCUUUGGGCUGCACCCAGGGAUAAGUGAUCCUGGGCAUGGAAGGAUGUAUGGAACUGUCGGAACAGUGGUGGAGCUAAGAGACACAGGCUUCCAAAAGAGGUGGUCCUCAGUCUUCCAUGCUGUCAUGAAGGAAAGGAUAUACAUAUUGGAGGCAAGAAUGGAAUGU